Molecule: long non-coding RNA, 1723 nt
Filed under: Homo sapiens (human)
Lineage: Eukaryota; Metazoa; Chordata; Mammalia; Primates; Hominidae
Description: HSALNT0351344
Source: RNAcentral
AAGAAUCUGAAGAAUUUUCUAGAGGAUGAAGUCAUUUUUCAUAAACAAGUUUUACUUUCUUCUUUUCUAUUUGGAUGACUAUCAUGUAUUUUCUUGUCUUAUUAGGAAGCAGUGCUUAUUUCAGUAAUUUUUAUUACUGAACAUCAUUAACAAUGUUUCCAACAUUGAUUUUGCAUUUUUUUGGGUAAUGUAUUGGUAGCCUAAUCAGCAGCUACAAGAAAAUAACAUCAAGGACAGAUCCUAAAGCUUAUGUUCACGAUUUCUCAUAGACUGAAAGGACUGCAGGACCAUGCCAUUUGGAGGACAUCAAGCUAUUUGAUACCUGGCAAUCUGGAUGAAAGCGUGUGAGCUGUGACCCUUUUGAUAGGAAGGAAAGAGAUCACACUAUUUCUACCCCUAUAGUUGUGGUGAUGAAGAUGGGAUGCCUGAAGCACCUGACUCACCUACUGAUGAGGUCCAGGUAAAAUGCUGAUAAAGAGCUUGCCAGUAAAGGUAAGAAUUUUUACCAAGUUCAGUUCUGAAUUUCUGCUUGUAGUGUCUGGUCAAGAACUAAAGGUAAAAAUUUAUCUUUAUUUCUUCCUUUCCAAAUGCAGGUCAUCAGGAGAAGAUCAUUUGUUUGAAUUGUUCUCUUGUGUAAAUUUGGAUUUAUGGGACCCAUGUGUUAUUGAUCCUUUCCCUUCAAUAGACAGCUGUCGUUUUGCUGUUUUGUGUCCUGAGAACCUGACUUGGCUUGCUGCCUAUCAGGAUGCCCUUCGGUGUGUGCAGGAGGCCAAACCAAAAGUUGGAGGCGCCCAUUAAAAGUUUACAUAUUGACUAUUGCCAGCUCUCGAGGUGUCUAAAUAUUUCUUUCUUGCGGCGAUCUUUAGAGGUGGCUCUGAAUUUUGAGAGGACUGCAUCUUGGCAUUUCUUUGAAGAUGUCUUAUGCAUCCUUGGUGAAGUCAAAAAAGGCUUGGUUUUGGUACUGAGUCACUUGGUAGGUGUCUUUGUUUUAAAAGAAAAGAGAAAAAAGAAAGUUUCAAACAUUAGAAAUAUGGGUUGUUUGUUCUUGCCGAAAUCCGGUAAGGGGUUUUAAAGUAAUUUUAAGAGCUCUGUAUUCAAUUAUUAGCUUAAUUUAAAGUGGGUAUCAAGGCUACCAUUUUUUAAGGGUCUUUCUGAUUUUCUCCUUGGGAUCUUGUUUAUCCCAUGGAAACAUUUUUUCUGUAAACUUAAGCCUUUUUAAAUUAUAUAUUUGAAUCCUCUGUUUGCUUCCUUUCUUGUAGGCAGGAUUUUUGCUUAAAAAAAUGUAAAACUUCAUUGGCCUUUUGAAGAAGCUUAAGAUCUCCCCAGUCUGGCUCCUCUAAGACUUGUUCUUCUAUUUACUUCUGCCAUUUUCAGUCGUUCAUCUAGCUCUCUCUUAUCAUUGACAAGCCCCUGCCUCUGCAUUUGGUGGUCAGUGGAUGGAAAAUUACUAAGCAGAAACAUCAGAGUUCUGGCUACCACAUAAAGGGUUGUAGAGAAUACUUCUAGAAAGCCUGGGACUCCUCGAAGAAUGCAAAUAAAAAAGAGAGAGAGAGAGAAAGUAGCCACAGAUGCCCCACUACAUAGAGUUUCCUGUCUUCCUCAUGAAGCCCCAAGAGUCAUGGGUAGGUCCUUCUCAUGUCUGGAGCUCUGCUCUCCCUUGCCGUGAGUUCCCUGAUCUCUUUGGCUUUUGGGGUAUCAAGGGUAACUUCACACUGUGAGAGAG